RNAcentral lists this unclassified non-coding RNA (1343 nucleotides) under Hevea brasiliensis (rubber tree). Lineage: Eukaryota; Viridiplantae; Streptophyta; Magnoliopsida; Malpighiales; Euphorbiaceae. The record is from RNAcentral.
GGCGUCCAAUGGCUCGCCUCCUCCUCGCCGCGGCGGCUUUCCUCCUCAUCUCCGCCGCCUCCGCCUCCUCCUUCUCCGCGGACAACCCGAUCCGCUCCGUCACCGACCGCGUCCACUCCCUUGAGUCUCAUCUUCUCUCCGUCCUGGGCCGCUCCCGUGACGCCCUACACUUCGUCCGCUUCGCUCACAGGUACGGGAAGAGCUAUGAAUCGGUGGAGGAGAUCAAGCUCAGGUUCAGUACCUUCGUUGAGAGCUUGGAGCUGAUCCGGUCGACAAAUCGGCAGAACCUGCCGUACAAGCUCGGGAUCAACCGGUUUGCGGAUCUGAGCUGGGAGGAGUUCAGGACGAGCCGGCUGGGGGCGGCGCAGAACUGUUCGGCUACGUUGAAGGGGAAUCAUAAGUUGACUAGUGAAGUGAUCCCGGAGACGAAAGACUGGAGGGAGGAGGGGAUCGUGAGCCCGGUGAAGGAUCAGGGACACUGUGGGUCUUGUUGGACCUUUAGCACCACUGGGGCUUUGGAAGCUGCUUACAAACAGGCAACUGGGAAGUCUGUUUCGCUGUCUGAGCAGCAGCUGGUAGACUGUGCCUACGCAUUCAAUAACUUUGGAUGCAAUGGUGGGUUGCCGUCCCAAGCCUUCGAAUAUAUUAAAUUCAACGGUGGCCUUGACACCGAAGAAUCGUACCCCUACGCCGGAUCCAAUGGCAUCUGCAACUUCAAAUCCGACAGUAUUGGAGUCAAGGUCACUGACUCAGUUAACAUUACCCUGGGAGCCGAGGAUGAGCUAAAGCACGCAGUUGGGUUAGUGCGUCCAGUUAGCAUUGCAUUUCAGGUUGUGAAGGGCUUCAAAUUAUACAAGGGAGGAGUUUACACCAGUGAGACUUGUGGCAAGACUCCUCUGGAUGUAAACCACGCUGUUCUGGCUGUUGGUUAUGGCGUAGAGAACGGUGUCCCGUAUUGGCUUAUCAAGAAUUCAUGGGGAAAUGAUUGGGGAGUUGAUGGGUACUUCAAGAUGGAGCUUGGGAAGAAUAUGUGCGGAAUUGCCACCUGUGCGUCCUACCCGAUAGUCGCAUAAUACGAGCACAAUUCAAGGUCUUUCUACCAAGGUCAUGAGGGGGAUUGUUAAAUAAAAUAUCUGUAAGAUGUAUUUCAGAUUACGAGCAUUUAUAUGUAAUGUUGGUGCACAAUUGAAACAUUCAUGUACAUAUUUACGUAUUUGUGCACUAUUUAAUAUAUGGAAUAUUUCUGGUGGAGGAGCAAUUGCGCUUGUUCACUUCCAGCCACGUAUUAAUCUCAGUUGAGAAAUUAUGUAAUAUGCUUUUAUGAGUCAAUAUGGGGCUCUUCG